Hyla sarda is the source of this 519-nucleotide long non-coding RNA. RefSeq lists it as uncharacterized. NCBI's taxonomy places the organism in Eukaryota, Metazoa, Chordata, Amphibia, Anura, Hylidae. The record is from RefSeq and is a predicted model, not a curated record. The transcript has 3 exons.
CAAACAACAGUUCCCGGCGGGUCCCAUUUACUAUUAUUGGGGCCGCCGGGACCCGUUAUGAAUAGCGGGAGAAAAAGAUGGCACAUACUGUCAUUUUUCUCUCACUAUUCUGCAGCGGCCGUCACACUGCCAGGCACCAACGGCAGUGUGAAAGGGGCCUGAGGAACAUGACUCAGGGGUCCUGAAUACACAAGAUAAAUCCCGUGUUUUGCCCCCAGGCCCUGCACCAGGUGUUUUUAUUGUUGCGGCCAAAAGAACUCCGUUUGGCACUUACGGCGGAGCGCUAAAAGACCACACUGCAACAGAUUUAGGGGAAAUAGCCGCAAGAGCUGCUCUGGCUGCUGGGAAUGUGGCUCCGGACACCGUGGACAGUGUUGUAUUCGGCAAUGUGGUUCAGACAGCCACCAACGCCAUAUACCUGACCCGACAUGUCGCCCUCCGCUCAGGAAUCCCUGUACCUGUCCCAGCUCUGACGGUCAACAGGCUUUGUGGUUCUGGUUUCCAGUCCAUUAUCAAUGG